Molecule: long non-coding RNA, 590 nt
Filed under: Pan paniscus (pygmy chimpanzee)
Lineage: Eukaryota; Metazoa; Chordata; Mammalia; Primates; Hominidae
Description: lncRNA (ENSPPAG00000045480.1)
Source: RNAcentral
GUGGGUGUCAGCCAAUCACAGCAUAUUCAAUGAUUCCACAUGGAUUGGAGAGUGUUGAAUCAUGAGGAGGCUGGCAAAAGGGCCCUCUCCUCAUGAGGUCUGGUUAAUAUCAGGAAUUAUUGCCUCAAACGCUGCAAGUUCAACCUGGAUCAGAAGCCAAGACCAAUGCUGCACUUGGAAGGGACGACCAAUAGUUCUGUGUUCCUGACCUGUCUUACAGUCUUUCGCUUCUAUCCGCAGUGGACCGUUUGGCUGAUCACAUCACUCUACAGCUGAACUUCUGCCACAUUUGAGCACCCACAUUAGAGACAAAAGUUGGGGAGAUAAUGGAGAGGCAAGACAACAAUAUGGGAUUGGCUGGAAAGAUGACAGACUGCAUAUGUACAUCAAAUAAAUUCCAAACGCAGCCGUCUAUUCCCAAGGUUUGGACAAAACAAAGGAACGAAUGUGGAACAGAAGUUUCAAAGACCUCUACGGAAAGAUCAAGUUCUCGGCGGUAUCAACCUCAUAUGAAAGGGUCUUUUAAAAGGUCAUUUUAUUAAAGCUAUGGAGAAGAAAUAACCUUCGGAAAAGGUGGUUUUUCAUUAGAU